RNAcentral lists this ribosomal RNA (253 nucleotides) under uncultured bacterium. RNAcentral's name for it is "partial 16S ribosomal RNA". It matches the Rfam family "Bacterial small subunit ribosomal RNA", at positions 524 to 776 of the family's 1533-position model. The record is from RNAcentral.
UACGAAGGUCCCGAGCGUUGUUCGGAAUCACUGGGCGUAAAGGGAGCGUAGGCGGUUUGGUAAGUCAGAUGUGAAAUCUUGGGGCUCAACCCUGAAACUGCAUCCGAUACUGCCUGACUUGAGUAAUGGAGGGGUAACUGGAAUUCUCGGUGUAGCAGUGAAAUGCGUGGAUAUCGAGAGGAACACUCGUGGCGAAGGCGAGUUACUGGACAUUUACUGACGCUGAGGCUCGAAGGCUAGGGUAGCGAAAGGG